This 600-nucleotide long non-coding RNA is filed under the name Ananas comosus (pineapple). RNAcentral describes it as "long non-coding RNA (ACOM_LNC017688)". The record is from RNAcentral. Lineage: Eukaryota; Viridiplantae; Streptophyta; Magnoliopsida; Poales; Bromeliaceae.
GAGGGCAUGCAGUAGACAACUGAUCAAGACAGUACAACAGAAUUAGAUUAUAGAAACACAUAUUUUGAAACACUUUUGUGUAAGUAUCUCAUUUAUACCAAAACUUAAAAAUAAAUUUACUAAUGUCUAAAUAUAAAGUCCAAUCCAACCAAAAAUAAAAUAUUACUCUACUCAACCCACCCCACCCAGCCCAUUUGGUCCGAUUACAAACAGAAAAGAAAAAAACAAAAAGAAAAAUCGAUUACCAUCUCCCCUUCUCUUCUCACUCAAUCCAUUGAAAUCCUAAACGAAUAUUCCUUCCUUUCGUCCUCCUCCGCCACCGCAGCCAACGAUGUAGAGUUCCGGCAAUUGCUAAAUGCUUAAAUAAAUAUUGGUAAAUUAGCAGUAUUCUUUUAGGUUAUAGCGACACUCUUUAACUGUCACUAUAUACCUAGCGACCCCAUGCACAUAUAGCAAUACUUUUCAAAAGUGUCGGUAAUUUAGCCAGCAGCAUUUUUUUUGACCUAUACCGACAUUUAAAAAUAUCGUUAUAGACCGUUUUUGUUGUAGUGAGAUUGUAAAAGGUCACACAAUUAAUCAACAAAAUGUGUAAACCAUAUA